GACGAACGCUGGCGGCGUGCCUAAUACAUGCAAGUCGAGCGGAAGUUGAAGAGCUUGCUCUUCAACUUUAGCGGCGGACGGGUGAGUAACACGUGGGCAACCUGCCCUGCAGAUCGGGAUAACUCCGGGAAACCGGUGCUAAUACCGAAUAGUUUUCGCCACCUCCUGGUGGCGUACGGAAAGACGGUUUCGGCUGUCACUGCAGGAUGGGCCCGCGGCGCAUUAGUUAGUUGGUGGGGUAACGGCCCACCAAGGCAACGAUGCGUAGCCGACCUGAGAGGGUGAUAGGCCACACUGGGACUGAGACACGGCCCAGACUCAUACGGGAGGCAGCAUGAGGGAAUCUUCCGCAAUGGACGAAAGUCUGACGGAGCAACGCCGCGUGAGUGACGAAGGUUUUCGGAUCGUAAAACUCUGUUGUGAGGGAAGAACAAGUACCACCUAACUACUGGUACCUUGCCGGUACCUCACCAGAAAGCCACGGCUAACUACGUGCCAGCAGCCGCGGUAA
RNAcentral lists this ribosomal RNA (511 nucleotides) under uncultured bacterium. RNAcentral's name for it is "partial 16S ribosomal RNA". It matches the Rfam family "Bacterial small subunit ribosomal RNA", at positions 28 to 523 of the family's 1533-position model. The record is from RNAcentral.